UACAGAGGGUGCGAGCGUUAAUCGGAUUUACUGGGCGUAAAGGGCGCGUAGGUGGUAAAGCAAGUAAGAUGUGAAAUCCCUGGGCUUAACCUAGGAAGUGCAUCUUAAACUGCUUAACUAGAGUAUGGUAGAGGGUAGUGGAAUUUCCGGUGUAGCGGUGAAAUGCGUAGAGAUCGGAAGGAACGCCAGUGGUGAAGACGACUACCUGGACCAAUACUGACACUGAGGCGCGAAAGCGUGGGGAUCAAACAGG
Molecule: ribosomal RNA, 253 nt
Filed under: uncultured bacterium
Lineage: Bacteria
Description: partial 16S ribosomal RNA
Rfam family: Bacterial small subunit ribosomal RNA
Source: RNAcentral